Molecule: ribosomal RNA, 480 nt
Filed under: uncultured bacterium
Lineage: Bacteria
Description: partial 16S ribosomal RNA
Rfam family: Bacterial small subunit ribosomal RNA
Source: RNAcentral
GGCGAACGCUGGCGGCGUGCCUAACACAUGCAAGUCGAGCGAGUUGAUUCUCUUCGGAGAUGAGGCUAGCGGCGGACGGGUGAGUAACACGUGGGCAACCUGCCUCAUAGAGGGGAAUAGCCUCCCGAAAGGGAGAUUAAUACCGCAUAAGAUUGUAGCUUCGCAUGAAGUAGCAAUUAAAGGAGCAAUCCGCUAUGAGAUGGGCCCGCGGCGCAUUAGCUAGUUGGUGAGGUAACGGCUCACCAAGGCGACGAUGCGUAGCCGACCUGAGAGGGUGAUCGGCCACAUUGGGACUGAGACACGGCCCAGACUCCUACGGGAGGCAGCAGUGGGGAAUAUUGCACAAUGGGGGAAACCCUGAUGCAGCAACGCCGCGUGAGUGAUGACGGCCUUCGGGUUGUAAAGCUCUGUCUUCAGGGACGAUAAUGACGGUACCUGAGGAGGAAGCCACGGCUAACUACGUGCCAGCAGCCGCCGUAA